AGAUUGGGAGGCAUUGUCUUAGAUUAAUGAAUGAGUUUUACUUUUCUCCCAGUUCCCUCUUGGCCUCAGAAUCAAAAUCUUAAUUAUUGUGAAGUGGCAACAGGCCAAUAAUGUUAGAGGAAGAAGGAGAAACAAAAGAAUCAGAUAAAAUUAAUUAUUAAGGAUGAUAAGAAGUUUCUCUGUAUUAUCUCUCUUCCUUUUAAAUUAUGACAUCAUCAAUGUUUAGACAGCCUUCCAGUGGCCUGCAGACCAAAGAGUCCUUUGUGAAAUUGCAGAAGAGGAGAAUCCAGCUCCAUUGCUGAAGGAGAGAUGAUACAGGCUGCCCUCUUGCACUUUAUUAAUGAUAAUAAUUUGGAAAUGAAGACUUUGCAUGGCAUGGAAGACAGCAGGAAACAGUCACACAGCUUAGAUUGGAAAGACAAUAAA
This is a long non-coding RNA of Mustela lutreola (European mink), 426 nucleotides long. RefSeq lists it as uncharacterized. NCBI's taxonomy places the organism in Eukaryota, Metazoa, Chordata, Mammalia, Carnivora, Mustelidae. The record is from RefSeq and is a predicted model, not a curated record. The transcript has 2 exons.